UGUUCGCUUGUGGGCGUGCUGGCAGCAUAUAGCAGCAUGUAGCAUGUUCGAAUGUGUGUCAAGGUCUGGCUAUUAAAUGGGUAAAUUAGUUUAAUAGUAAUGUAUUCUAAAACACUCUGGUGACAAACAAACUUUGCUUCCCUGUUUCCAAUCAUCCACAUGGACAACCUAUUCAAGUAGCUAGCUAACAGCCAUGGAGGAGGGUGAAAGGAGAGCAGACCCAACUGUCAGUGAGAGAGGAGGCUCUUCUGGAUACAGAGAGCUGUGAAAGCCUGUCUGCAGAUGAAGAGGUCCCAAUGAAGAGCAGUGGUUCUCAGUCCUGGGGACUCAAAGAGGGGCACAUUGUUGUUUUUUCCUCAGCACUGCUCAGCUGACUCAAAUGAUCAACUCAUCAUCAAGCUUCAAGUGAUACCUUGUAACUGGAGAUUCCUGCCUAUAGUUACCGUGUAAGGCACUGCAAGGUUGUGUGAAGGCUACCUGUGUCCUGCGUAACUUCACGAGGAUGGACACGAGGACCAGGAGGGGAUCUGCAGCUCGCCGCCGUGUGCCAGAGGAGGAGUCUGCUGCUCUGCAGGAGGGGAUUUGCAGCUCGCCACCGUGUCCCACAGGAGGAGUCUGCUGCUCUGCAGGAGGGGAUCUGCAGCUCGCCGCCGUGUCACCGAGGAGAAGUCUGCUGCUCUGCAGGAGGGGAUCUGCAGCUCGCCGCCGUGUCACAGAGGAGGAGUCUGCUGCUCU
Molecule: long non-coding RNA, 735 nt
Organism: Oncorhynchus tshawytscha (Chinook salmon)
Lineage: Eukaryota; Metazoa; Chordata; Actinopteri; Salmoniformes; Salmonidae
Exons: 4
Source: RefSeq, a predicted model, not a curated record